UCAUUAAAAAAAAUAAAACACAACCGGUAUAGCACCGUUAAUACUGACACUAAUUAUUUAAAUGACGAUAAGAAUUUUUGAUGUUACUGAGUCAGUGGAUUCCUGAUACUGUAGUCACAUAAAUCAGUGACAUGUAAAUAGUAUCAUUAAAUGCUAACGCGAUUGAGUCACUAUCCUUGUGACUCUCUAGUGACACAAAAUACUGACAUAAAAAUAGUAUCAACUGAUACUAACAUCAUAGUAUCACUAUGGUGGUGAUACUAUAGUGACACAAAAUACUGACGCAAAAAUCACUGACACCAAAGAUUAGUGUCAGUGUGUUCUGGCUUGAGCAUUACUGACACAAUUAACAAGUGUCAGCAAAAGUAAUUACUGACACUAAAUUGGUGUCAGUAAAGCCCAUUUUUCUAGUAGUGCGUCCUGCGUUCAAAAGUGAUGUCCGUUUUGCCGUCUGAUUUCUCGUUCAUUGUGAAAUGACCAUGAUGCCCCUAAAAUACAUAAAAUACUUAAUUAUAAUAUAACACACGUAAUUAAAUCACAAGAAGCUUAAAUACAUAAAAGUAAGGAUCGUUAAUACUGACACUAAUUAUUUAAAUGACGAUAAGAAUUUUUGAUGUUACUGAGUCAGUGGAUUCCUGAUACUGUAGUCACAUAAAUCAGUGACAUGUAAAUAGUAUCAUUAAAUGCUAACGCGAUUGAGUCACUAUCCUUGUGACUCUCUAGUGACACAAAAUACUGACAUAAAAAUAGUAUCAACUGAUACUAACAUCAUAGUAUCACUAUGGUGGUGAUACUAUAGUGACACAAAAUACUGACGCAAAAAUCACUGACACCAAAGAUUAGUGUCAGUGUGUUCUGGCUUGAGCAUUACUGACACAAUUAACAAGUGUCAGCAAAAGUAAUUACUGACACUAAAUUGGUGUCAGUAAAGCCCAUUUUUCUAGUAGUG
This 949-nucleotide long non-coding RNA is filed under the name Citrus sinensis (sweet orange). Its description in RNAcentral is "long non-coding RNA (CSIN_LNC003521)". The record is from RNAcentral. Lineage: Eukaryota; Viridiplantae; Streptophyta; Magnoliopsida; Sapindales; Rutaceae.